This 913-nucleotide long non-coding RNA is filed under the name Olea europaea subsp. europaea. The record is from RNAcentral. Lineage: Eukaryota; Viridiplantae; Streptophyta; Magnoliopsida; Lamiales; Oleaceae.
CUGCUCUUAGUGUAAACUAUUCUAUCAAAAUUACAGAAUGGAGAUAAUAUUUUUCAUUCACUGCUCUAAGUGUAAACAAUUCUAACAGAAUAACAAAAUGGAAAUAAUAUUUUCCUUCACUACUCCAACUGUAAACUAUUCCAUUAAACUUACAGAAUGGAGAUAAUAUUUUUUCUUCACUGCUUCUAGUGUAAAUUAUUCUAAUAAAACUUCAAUACGUAAUGCCUUAUUAUUCACAAAUCCAAAGCCUAAACUACAAACAAAAACACCCAACUUCAGAUCUAUACAUACAGAUUACAUAAACACAUAAACAAAAAAUCAAAAGGGUAUGCAUAAUUUCUGAAAAUAAUUGGUAUACACAAAGAGAAGUCAGGUAAGCUCUUAAAUAGAGCCACCACCACAACAUAGUCACUACUGCACCCAAACACUGCAACCACAACCAAUAGAGCCGUCGUCGCUGUCGUCAUCGCCACCAGAGCCAACGAACCACAUAUCAGAAAAUCAUCACACUCCCACAACCACUACGAGCACCACUGCAUCUAUACAACCAUCUCCAAAAUUACCACCACCACAACAGGGAAUCGCCGCUUUCGACAACGAUGGCAUCGUCGGCGUGGCAAAGCUCUCCAUGCUGCCGGAGAUGCAGGGGUGGACGGAUUAGUGGGUAGAGAGAGAAGUUAGAGAGAAGGAAGAGAGUGAGGAUGAGGGUAAAAAUGAAUUUGAUUUUGGGAUGGACCUUAAUUGAGGUACAGGAGUUUUUUUCACAGAACUCCUGCAAGUGCUCGCGGCAUGGGUGGGGGGUGAGUGGGGAUUUUGACAAUUUUUUAGUACCCCUGUACAUGGAGUAAAAUCCUUUUGGGAUAAAUGGGAUUGGGAGUGGGGCGAGCGUGGGCGAAGGUGGGGUGAGGUUAGA